GACGAACGCUGGCGGCGUGCUUAACACAUGCAAGUCGAACGGAAAGGCCCUGCUUUUGUGGGUUGCUCGAGUGGCGAACGGGUGAGUAACACGUGAGUAACCUGCCCUUGACUUUGUGAUAACUUCCGGAAACUGGGGCUAAUACCGGAUAGGAGCUCCUGCUGCAUGGUGGGGGUUGGAAAGUUUCGGCGGUUGGGGCUGGACUCGCGGCUUAUCAGCUUGUUGGUGGGGUAGUGGCUUACCAAGGCUUUGACGGGUAGCCGGCCUGAGAGGGUGACCGGCCACAUUGGGACUGAGAUACGGCCCAGACUCCUACGGGAGGCAGCAGUGGGGAAUAUUGCACAAUGGGCGGAAGCCUGAUGCAGCAACGCCGCGUGCGGGAUGACGGCCUUCGGGUUGUAAACCGCUUUCGCCUGUGACGAAGCGUGAGUGACGGUAAUGGGUAAAGAAGCACCGGCUAACUACGUG
This 468-nucleotide ribosomal RNA is filed under the name uncultured bacterium. RNAcentral describes it as "partial 16S ribosomal RNA". It matches the Rfam family "Bacterial small subunit ribosomal RNA", at positions 28 to 507 of the family's 1533-position model. The record is from RNAcentral.